GCUCUUUUUUCGUCAACCUUGCGCGCCUAUAUUCAGUGGGCCGGCGCAAGCCGGCUAUGGCGAUAAACGGCCGUUGCAAUAAACCAUUCGGACCCGGGGGCAGUACCCGGCGGCUCCACCCAAGCCCGGCGAGCACGGGCUUCGGCGGGGCCGAACCAGGAUCGACGAGGGUGUAAAGAGCGCGCUUUUGCCCGUUAUGGUUCCGUCGUUAUCGGACCAUUCCAUAGUUGCCAACGACAACUAUGCUCCGGUUGCUCAGGCCGCGUAAUGCGGUUUGAAAGACCGAUUUAAAGCCCUGGCGGGUUAAGCUCCGUCAGGCGGGGUCCGGAGGCACCUGGCAACAGAAGCCUCCACU
Molecule: transfer-messenger RNA, 355 nt
Filed under: Xanthobacteraceae bacterium
Lineage: Bacteria; Pseudomonadati; Pseudomonadota; Alphaproteobacteria; Hyphomicrobiales; Xanthobacteraceae
Rfam family: Alphaproteobacteria transfer-messenger RNA
About the family: Bacterial tmRNA, also known as 10Sa RNA or SsrA, is named for its dual tRNA and mRNA-like properties. Its role is to liberate the mRNA from a stalled ribosome.
Source: RNAcentral